UACGUAGGGUGCGAGCGUUAAUCGGAAUUACUGGGCGUAAAGCGUGCGCAGGCGGUGAUGUAAGACAGAUGUGAAAUCCCCGGGCUCAACCUGGGAACUGCAUUUGUGACUGCAUCGCUGGAGUGCGGCAGAGGGGGGUGGAAUUCCGCGUGUAGCAGUGAAAUGCGUAGAGAUGCGGAGGAACACCGAUGGCGAAGGCAGCCCCCUGGGCCACUACUGACGCUGAGAAGCGAAAGCGUGGGGAGCGAACAGG
RNAcentral lists this ribosomal RNA (253 nucleotides) under uncultured bacterium. Its description in RNAcentral is "partial 16S ribosomal RNA". It matches the Rfam family "Bacterial small subunit ribosomal RNA", at positions 524 to 776 of the family's 1533-position model. The record is from RNAcentral.